Long non-coding RNA from Oryzias latipes (Japanese medaka), 2242 nucleotides. RefSeq lists it as uncharacterized. Lineage: Eukaryota; Metazoa; Chordata; Actinopteri; Beloniformes; Adrianichthyidae. The record is from RefSeq and is a predicted model, not a curated record.
UUUAUAUAUUACUGUAGAGAUUAGAUUCCCUCAGAGGAGCUCAGUGCAGGUGUGAGUUGGUACCUGGGUGAGUCGUGUCUCUGGAAACCGGUGAGCGUUGGACUAAACAGGAGGCUCCAGAGAAAUUGAAGCAAAAGGGACAAAGCUGUGUGACAGAAAAAUGUUUUUCCGCAUCCCUCGACUAACCCCUGGAUAUAUUAGAUACCUUCAGGUCAUGUCUUGGAUUGAUGCUAAACUCUAAGAUGACUUCAAAUCCUGGCCCAACUGAAACAAAGAAAAAGCCAUGGGUUGGUUGAAUAUGACCUCAAACUUGACAAAAAUGGAAAUUUUAGCAAGGCUCUUCCCUUUUGGAAAGACCCUUGCUGGCAUGAGACAGACUCAGGCAGCUCAGACUGUACUGCAGAGCCGCGACGGUCCUGCCACGCCGUGCAUGGCCAUCCUGCUCGGCCUCAUAGGGGUUGGCGUGUCUGGCUACAGCUCCCGCCAACUCACACUGCACUACAAGCCAUCAAGGAACCUCUUCAGAUGAGACGAGAGAUGGAGGCUUUUUUAUUCUUCUUUACAUGUAUUUACUUCAGCUGUUUUUGACAAAUGCUACAUCUUUCCUGGCUUUUGUAAGUUGCCGACAUCAGUGGAGAUUCCAGGAUGUUAAACUUUUUACUCUCAGCUAAGCUGCUUGUUGUUUAGCUUAAUUUUAAAUUAGGUUGUAAGAUCUUAAAACUGAAACUCAAGGCAGAAAAUACAUCCAAAACUAAUAGAAGUGAUGCUUUCAGAUUCCCGUGUGGGAUUUUAAUCCCGUUCAUGUGGUUCAGGUUCAAAGUCAUGUCCGUUCUUGUAUUUUAUUGUGUGAGUUGAGGAAGUUGUUGCCUUAAGGGUGUGUAAAAUCUGAAAGAGCUCCUACUUAUACCUCCUCUGUUAAGAAAUUGGAGUAUUUGUAUUUAACGUUCAGCAGAAAGGCAGCUGUUUCUUUUUGAACCUGACAGAUGUUGCACUUGGACCACAUGUCCCACCCCUCCUUACCCCGUGCCUUAUCAUGGGAGUAUAUUGGCCCCGAACAAGUAUUUACUUGCGAAAUUCAUCACAUUUUAGUAAUUUUCUCGAGUGCGUCAGCUCCGUAAAGAUAGCUGAGCCAGCAUCAGGGAAUCUGCUCCAAAAUCCUUCAUCUUUUAAUCAUCCCCUGCUUCUCCUUUGGUGCUUUGGUCAUUUUCAUUAUGUAACUGAAGUCAUUUUCUUUUCUGCUUUAGGAGGGUCAUUUAGAAACGCGAGAAUCUCGAGAAAAAUAUUAAAAAGAACACAUAAAGAUAUGAGAAAAGCAACUUUUGCACUUUUUUUGUACAAUAUCUGUAAAUAAACAUGCACGUGUCACUUGGAUGCUGUAUGAGAUUAGUAAUCCAGGACAUGGUGUGCGACCAGCUUGUGUUGUGAGCUGGACUGGGUGACAUCCAGCUGGAUAGACGCGCAGCACUGCUGUGAUGUUGUCAGGCACAGGGGCCAGGACAGCCACCCUGGACACCAUCUGGAUCAACAUGUGAAUCCACCCGGAUCUCUCCCAGUUGCACACACUUGUCAUCAGUUAAAAUGCUGUUAGAUAAAUGACCACCUUGGUCUCCUAACACGCUGUAUUUUUAAUUUGCACUGUGACUUUAUAUGAAGUAAAACAACUUUGACAGCACAUGAAUGUAUUAUGUAAAGUUUAAAAAAAGCGGUUGUUUUGCCCCAUCCCUGAAAAAGCAAUGAAAGUUUAUGACAAGAGAAUAAUUAGGAAAGAUAAAAACAGGUCACAAGACAAGAGCAGUGAUGUAUUAAUCCCCUCUUGAUCCUCUUAAGAUAAAAGUCUUAUUUUGAGACCUGCUCACUUUUAAAGGUCAGGGAUGCACAUCAACAAACGCAUUUAGGAUAUUUUUGAAGCUAUAAGAUGUUGGACAUAUUUAAUCAAUGAUUUCAUUAUGCUUUUAAGGAUUUAAAUGAAAUUAUUAAUUGCUUACUGUCAGAAAAUGGUGGAUUUAGGACAUGGGAUGUCCUAACAUCACCGUGAGGAAGAAAAAUACUGCAUUGUGAGAUUGUAACGUUUGCUUUGUCGAUGCUUAUCAUGUUAAUGUUCAUGUAAGCUUAAAAAAUAUUUUUCAGUACCAUUACAGAAAAUUAUUAUAAUUUUUUAGAACUGAUGAAGGCUUUCAUAUCAUAUGAAUGUUUGUUUUUAAUGUAACUUUUCUGUAAAUAUUAAUAAAGCGGUCAAACCUUG